AGAGUUUGAUCCUGGCUCAGGACGAACGCUGGCGGCGUGCCUAACACAUGCAAGUCGAGCGAGAAUCUUAAAUCUGAUUCCUUCGGGGAUGAAGAUUUAAGAGGAAAGCGGCGGACGGGUGAGUAACGCGUGAGUAACCUGCCUUCAAGAGGGGGACAACAGCUGGAAACGGCUGCUAAUACCGCAUGAUAUUACGAAAUCGCAUGGUUUUGUAAUCAAAGAUUUAUCGCUUGAAGAUGGACUCGCGUCUGAUUAGAUAGUUGGUGGGGUAACGGCCUACCAAGUCGACGAUCAGUAGCCGAACUGAGAGGUUGAUCGGCCACAUUGGGACUGAGACACGGCCCAGACUCCUACGGGAGGCAGCAGUGGGGGAUAUUGCGCAAUGGGGGCAACCCUGACGCAGCAACGCCGCGUGAAGGAAGACGGCCUUCGGGUUGUAAACUUCUUUAAGUGUGGAAGAAAUUGACGGUACACACAGAAUAAGCCACGGCUAACUACGUGCCAGCAGCCGCGGU
RNAcentral lists this ribosomal RNA (515 nucleotides) under uncultured bacterium. RNAcentral's name for it is "bacterial SSU rRNA". It matches the Rfam family "Bacterial small subunit ribosomal RNA", at positions 8 to 521 of the family's 1533-position model. The record is from RNAcentral.